Molecule: ribosomal RNA, 424 nt
Filed under: uncultured bacterium
Lineage: Bacteria
Description: bacterial SSU rRNA
Rfam family: Bacterial small subunit ribosomal RNA
Source: RNAcentral
UUGGGAAUCUUGGACAAUGGGGGAAACCCUGAUCCAGCCAUGCCGCGUGAGUGAUGAAGGCCUUCGGGUUGUAAAACUCUUUCGACGGGGACGAUAAUGACGGUACCCGUAGAAGAAGCUCCGGCUAACUUCGUGCCAGCAGCCGCGGUAAUACGAAGGGGGCUAGCGUUGUUCGGAAUUACUGGGCGUAAAGCGCGCGCAGGCGGUCUUCCAAGUCAGUGGUGAAAGCCCGGAGCUCAACUCCGGAAUUGCCAUUGAAACUGUGAGACUGGAGUACGAGAGAGGUGAGUGGAAUUCCCAGUGUAGAGGUGAAAUUCGUAGAUAUUGGGAAGAACACCGGUGGCGAAGGCGGCUCACUGGCUCGUAACUGACGCUCAGGCGCGACAGCGUGGGGAUCAAACAGGAUUAGAUACCCCCGUAGUCC